Long non-coding RNA from Rhipicephalus microplus (southern cattle tick), 278 nucleotides. Lineage: Eukaryota; Metazoa; Arthropoda; Arachnida; Ixodida; Ixodidae. The record is from RefSeq and is a predicted model, not a curated record.
UCACACAGCUAUAGAGUACACGGAGAUAUGUUCUCGGCAUGGGUGCUGGCGCUCAUGCUUGCAGCUUGCCGGUCAACUGGUGAGACCACUGCUCAGAGGGGAAAUGUAGGAAGCAACGUUGAUAUAAAACAGUUUUUCAACACCACGGAGCCGGUGUGGACGUACAGUACAACGAGAAUCACUUUAUACUACUGCGUUUUUGAUGUUACGCACAAUAUGUCUGACGAAGAGGUUAUAUAUACAAAGUAUUCUUGGCUAAACAUCAGUAGCCGACCGGA